Molecule: ribosomal RNA, 426 nt
Filed under: uncultured bacterium
Lineage: Bacteria
Description: bacterial SSU rRNA
Rfam family: Bacterial small subunit ribosomal RNA
Source: RNAcentral
GGGGAAUAUUGGACAAUGGGCGCAAGCCUGAUCCAGCAAUGCCGCGUGUGUGAAGAAGGCCUUCGGGUUGUAAAGCACUUUUAUCAGGAGCGAAACGCUGUCGGCUAAUACCCGGCGGAACUGACGGUACCUGAGGAAUAAGCACCGGCUAACUUCGUGCCAGCAGCCGCGGUAAUACGAAGGGUGCAAGCGUUAAUCGGAAUUACUGGGCGUAAAGCGUGCGUAGGCGGUGACUUAAGUCUGCUGUGAAAUCCCCGGGCUCAACCUGGGAAUGGCAGUGGAUACUGGGUCGCUAGAGUGUGAUAGAGGAUGGUGGAAUUCCCGGUGUAGCGGUGAAAUGCGUAGAGAUCGGGAGGAACAUCAGUGGCGAAGGCGGCCAUCUGGAUCAACACUGACGCUGAGGCACGAAAGCGUGGGGAGCAAACA